AGUUCUGGGCCGCACGCGCGUUACACUGACGGGGCCAGCGAGUUCUUCCUUGUCCGAAAGGUCCGGGUAAUCUUGUGAAACCCCGUCGUGCUGGGGAUAGAGCAUUGCAAUUAUUGCUCUUCAACGAGGAAUCCCUAGUAAGCGCAAGUCAUCAGCUUGCGUUGAUUACGUCCCUGCCCUUUGUACACACCGCCCGUCGCUACUACCGAUUGAAUGGCUCAGUGAGGCUUUCGGACUGGUCCGGAGUGGGGGGCGACCCCCGUUCUGGACCGGAAAGUUAUCCGAACUCGGUCAUUUAGAGGAAGUAAAAGUCGUAACAAGGUCUCCGUUGGUGAACCAGCGGAGGGAUCAUUACCGAGUUUACACUCAUAACCCUUUGUGAACAUUAUAACUUGUUGCUUCGGCGGCUUCUUCGGGAGCCCGCCGGCGUUUCAGUAUCUCUGUUUGUACCCGACGAUACAUCUGAGUGUUCUUAGCGAACUAUAAAAACUUUUAACAACGGAUCUCUUGGUUCUAGCAUCGAUGAAGAACGCAGCGAAACGCGAUAUGUAAUGUGAAUUGCAGAAUUCAGUGAAUCAUCGAAUCUUUGAACGCACAUUGCGCCUUCCAGUAUUCUGGGAGGCAUGCCUGUCCAACGUCGUUUCACCCUCAAGCCCUCGUGGGUUGGUGUUGGAGUCCUACAGUCUUGUAGUCUCCCAAAACCAGUGGGGGAACCGUCCGGCCCUUCCUUUGCGUAAUACAUUCGCCUCCAUCGGGAGCCCCGGGAUUUUUGGCUCUAAACCCCCCCAGUCCCUCCGGGGCCAGGGUGACUCGGACAGGAGGAUACCCCUGAAUUUACCUUUCAUAACGGGGGAAA
This 856-nucleotide ribosomal RNA is filed under the name Nectriaceae sp. LM109. RNAcentral's name for it is "eukaryotic LSU rRNA". The stretch from base 1 to 354 matches the Rfam family "Eukaryotic small subunit ribosomal RNA", at positions 1478 to 1831 of the family's 1831-position model. The record is from RNAcentral. Lineage: Eukaryota; Fungi; Ascomycota; Sordariomycetes; Hypocreales; Nectriaceae.